GGCUCUGUAGCUCAGGGGUAGAGCAGGGGAAUCAUAAUCCCUGUGUCCGGUGUUCAAAUCACCGCAGAGCCACCA
RNAcentral lists this transfer RNA (75 nucleotides) under Alphaproteobacteria bacterium. RNAcentral describes it as "tRNA-Met". It matches the Rfam family "tRNA". Rfam says of the family: Transfer RNA (tRNA) molecules are approximately 80 nucleotides in length. The record is from RNAcentral. Lineage: Bacteria; Pseudomonadati; Pseudomonadota; Alphaproteobacteria.